This 4038-nucleotide long non-coding RNA is filed under the name Phaseolus vulgaris (common bean). RNAcentral's name for it is "long non-coding RNA (PVUL_LNC003376)". The record is from RNAcentral. Lineage: Eukaryota; Viridiplantae; Streptophyta; Magnoliopsida; Fabales; Fabaceae.
AAAAAUAUUUUUUUCUUGGAUUUCAUCAUCAUUUCUUGAGACAAAAGAUAAAUCAAGACACAUAAAAUAGAAACUAAACUACCAAACACUUAAGUUACAAACAUCAAAGUUGGAUAUUGAGAUAUCCGUCACUAGUAAGUGUGAAUCCUAUUCAGAUUCACACUCCAUAAAUGUUUUGCUCUUGAUCUUCAUUUUGUAAAAGACACCAUCUAGCCAAAGAAGGUUCAACUUGCGGAUCAGUUAACCAAACCUAUAUCGGAUUUUACCUUUUGUACUGUUCAAAAUAAACUCAAUGUUGUAGCACCUCCACCCAUAAGUGGAGGAGGGGAGGUGUUAAGUAAUAACUUGAAUAUUCUUUUCUUAAAGCGUUUUCUCUCUCAUAUGACACUCACCAUAUCUUAGAUAUUGAAUAAGAGAUUUUGCUUGAUGCAUAUCAUGAACGAACCUGCAGUAACAGUAAGCAUUUGAAGAACAAAGUAAAAGAGAGAGUGAAAAGUGAUCCGUAGUAAACUGAAAUGGAAUUUUCCCAUAAAACUGGUCCACGAGGGGAGAAUAAGAAAACCAAGCCCUCAAAACUUAUGCGGGUCCCGAACAAACUCACCUUUAUUUUUUCUUGAGUGUAGGGCGAAGAUUUUUUAGUUAUGUCGAAAGCGAAACGACGUGCCUUCAAAAGGUAUUGACUCGAGUAUAAAUAGAGUCGACCCCGUAGCUUGUCUCAUAACAAAGCAAGUGGUAUUCUUAAUUUGAGGAAAAGAGUGUCCAUUUUCCUGAUUGAUCAUGGCUGGAGGAAGUAGGGACCCUCUGGUUGUUGGUCGUGUGAUAGGGGAUGUGUUGGAACCCUUUGAGUGUUCCAUUCCCAUGAGGGUCACCUACAGUAACAGAGAUGUCAGCAAUGGAUGUGAAUUCAAACCCUCACAAGUUGUCAACCAACCAAGAAUAAAUAUCGGUGGAGAUGACCUCAGGAACUUCUACACCUUGGUAAUUCAUUACUCCUUCUCUUCUUUUUCAUCACCAUCUUCAGUUCAUUCUGUUUGCCACUCAGUGCAAAUAUGAUUUUACUUUCACCUAACUUCAGCUUUUUCGUAUUUGUAAAAUGAUUUCUUUGUUGGGUGUAAUUAGUCAAACAGUUUUUACCUUUGAAUGCUUUGUUCUUUUUAAAAUAAUAGAGUUUUUAUACACAUUAUUUGUAUCUCUUUGUCUUAGUUAAUUUAUACGAUACAGAUUAUAAAUUCAAUAACUAAAUAAAUAAUUUUCUCAAAAUAUGAAAUUAUUAUUUCUGGUUCAUAAUGUCAUCUAACACUUGUUGCAUGUUUAUCUGUCUAUAGAAGUUCAAAAGACUAUUUCAAGUGAAACCUACUGUGCAGUAUAUAUGUGAUGUGUAUAAAAUUCUUCAAGUUCUUCAAAAUAAAUAUUAUUAAUGUAAUUUAAAAUAAACCUUAGAAAUAAAAUGAGUGAUGAUUUCAAUGCAGUAUUAGGACUCUAAUUGCAAUCUGGGACCAAUAGGUUUUACAUUGAUAUAGCAGUAUCUACCUAAAUCGAUGUUAGUUUCUUUAAUUUCAAUGAUCAGUAACAGAUCGUAUGUUCAUUUCAUUGAUUUCUUUCAUUAACAGAUCGCAGUUGAUCCCGAUGCACCUAGUCCAAGUGACCCUAAUUUGAGAGAAUACCUCCAUUGGUGAGCAAAAAAUACAUGAAUCUUCGUCUACAAGAACUGAACUAUACAUUUAUGAAUUUUGCUAGCUUAAUGUUCCAAUACUUUACUACCUUUGUCUCUCUCUCUCCAAUGUAUUUCAGGCUGGUGACUGAUAUUCCUGCAACAACGGGACCUAGUUUCGGUAUGUAUCAUAUUCGUCCAUUUUAUUAACCUAAAAGUGUCUGUGUUCUGGCUUAAACAUAUUCAAACCCUUAUUUUUUACUUAAACUUAAUGAAUUUUAUGUAUGUGUAUAUUCAUAACAAAAUUAAUGUUUUCUUAAGUGUAUUUGUGAUUUAUGAUUUCUUUUUUAAGUUACUCGAGUAAUAAGGAACUGAAAAUUUCAAAAUAUUAAUUAUUUUUAGAAGAUAUUGGAUAUUUCAUGAACUCUGUAUUCCUAAACUCGUUUCACCUAAUUUUGGAAUAAAAAUGUAGGUAAUUAAUAUGAUAAGAAGCCUACACUAAUGAGAAUAAUUUUACAGGGUAGGCUGAAUGGGAAAUAAAAUUUGGAUAUUCUAUAAAGGGUCCAUCAACUUUUAUCUCACUCAAAAGUUUAUCUUUUGUCGUUAAGAGUAGUACGUAUAGUUUCCUUAAUAUCAGUGAUGUCCAAGUUCAUCAGAAUAUAUGUGGUCCAAAGUAGUACAUAUGAACAUUUUCUUACGUUUUAAAUACAAUAAACAUUAUUUUUAUUCAUAUUUUUAUUUCUUUAGUUAGUAUUUAUACCUAUUGUUUCAGGUUUAGGGUAUCUUUAUUUAAUUAUAUUAGAAUGAAAAAGACUGAUUAAUGGAAAGAUAUUAAUGAUUUGGAUAAGAAUUAAAUCUUCAGUAUUAUAAUUAUAUAAAUAAUUUUAAUUGGUUUCAUCGUAUAUAUGGUUUGCCUUUGAAUUGAAUUUGAUCUAAAGGAGUGUUGAAUUCAUUUUGGUCUAACAUAUUAUGAAACACUAAUAUAAUUUUGAAAUGUUUCAUACGCCAGGUAUAAAUUCAUAGAGCUUCAGAUAAUAUAUAUAUAGUGAAAGUGAAAAAGUGAUUGGAUAUUAUUGAACACAUACUAUGACAUGCAUAUGCAUAUCUUAACAUCAACAACCAUCCUUAAAUAUUCUUUGCUCAUAAAGAAAAACAUCCUUAAAUAUUAUGUUAUGUCAAAUAGGUAGUUGCAUAUAUAUAAUUAAGAUAAAUUCAAAUUAGGAGGAUACUAAAAGUGAAAAAAAAAAAUGAUAGAGAUAUCUACAUUUAAGUCAUUUUUACAACUUAAAAGUAUUAAAUAAAAACAUGUUUUUGGCUGGUAUGAUUCAGAAUAUACAGUUGUUGGAGAAUCCAAAUUAGCCAAUUACACUACGAAACCUAAAAGCAUUGAACCAUAUAGCAUCGAAUUCUUAAAGUGCAUAAUCAUGUCAGAAAAGAUAGAAGAUUAUUCUAUUCAAGAUAUAACACAAAGCAAGUGUUCUUUCUGAAGGAGAAUAUUCAUAUUGAAUAGAUUACCUUUUGUUGGCCAUCUAUGCAGAUCACUUGACAAGAUAACAGUAAAACCUUCAUAGCAGGGGUCUAUAGAUCAGAACAGAACAUCAUUCAAAAAAAAGCUUCAUAGCCUGUUGAUGCAACUGGUUUAACAAAAAUUGAUAAGUGAAGUGGUAGAAGAAGAAUCAGAUAUGCUUAAAUUCCACUCCAAACAUCUUGACUAAAACUGAGUUAGAGUCAAAUAGGGUUACUGUGAGUGACUAAACUCACCUUAGUUUUAUUCCUAGUAUUCAUAAUUCAAACCCAAGACUUGUGAUUAAGUUAGAACAACUUUACACAAGUUGAUUCAUGUGUUUGAUGAUUCCUCAGUAACACAUAUAAUUCAGUAAACUAAACAGCUUUACCACCACACCCUCAUCAACCUUCUACCAGGAUCUGCAAUCUUCAAAUCCUUCUCAUGAAAUCAGAAACUUUGAAUCUACCAAAUUUAGUGAACCCGACCUUGCUGGAAAAAAAGAAAAAUAUAAUUCUCCUUCUAUCACCAAUCAGCUGUUCAAAACCAGAGCUUACCAGUAAGAGUGGUGAAUGUUUCUUCCCUUCGCUCUCACGCGUUUUAUCUUUCUUAUAAUAUCUCAUCCAUCUGAAAACGACACGUAAUUUAAAUCAACACUCUCUUCAUUGGUUAUAUUUAUUAUUAUUGGAAGAUAGGGAAAGGGACACAACAUUAGCGUUUAAAAAAAAAACGCAGACGAAUUUUUAUCCACCCGUAGGUUAUUUAGGUCUUUCACAGGAGCUAGUAGGACCUUACAUAUAUCACUUAUUAAUAUCUAAGCUGAAAUAUAUUGUUUUAUUUUUUUAUAAAAAAAACUAAAAUAUGAAAAAUGCUACUUCAUAUU